AUGGAUGUGAUGAUUAUUUCCCCAGAUGAUCGAAGCUGAAAUUACUGAGCGCUUUUACUGUAUUUUCUCAUUAGUGGGAAAAUCCAAGCCAGAUAUUCUGAUCCAU
This 106-nucleotide small nucleolar RNA is filed under the name Capsicum annuum. RNAcentral's name for it is "Small nucleolar RNA Z103". It matches the Rfam family "Small nucleolar RNA Z103". Rfam says of the family: This family consists of several snoRNA Z103 sequences which are members of the C/D class of snoRNA which contain the C (UGAUGA) and D (CUGA) box motifs. Lineage: Eukaryota; Viridiplantae; Streptophyta; Magnoliopsida; Solanales; Solanaceae. The record is from Rfam by way of RNAcentral. RNAcentral also lists the same sequence under 1 other name.